UACGUAGGGUGCGAGCGUUGUCCGGAAUUAUUGGGCGUAAAGAGCUCGUAGGUGGCCUGUCGCGUCGGCUGUGAAAACUCGGGGCUCAACUCCGAGCUUGCAGUCGAUACGGGCAGGCUAGAGUUCGGCAGGGGAGACUGGAAUUCCUGGUGUAGCGGUGGAAUGCGCAGAUAUCAGGAGGAACACCAAUGGCGAAGGCAGAUCUCUGGGCCGUAACUGACGCUGAGGAGCGAAAGCAUGGGGAGCGAACAGG
RNAcentral lists this ribosomal RNA (253 nucleotides) under uncultured bacterium. RNAcentral's name for it is "partial 16S ribosomal RNA". It matches the Rfam family "Bacterial small subunit ribosomal RNA", at positions 524 to 776 of the family's 1533-position model. The record is from RNAcentral.